GUUUCGUCAUUCCGUCCUUAAAUCUCCUCCCGGUCAUGAGGUCCGUGGGAAAUAGGAGCUUAACAAGAUUCAAGAUUCCUUGGGACCCGAAUUAUUUCGUGGUCAGGCCGGAUAUCGUUAAAGUUGGGAAGGUAUAUUUAUAUUUUGAAAGGAUCGGCAGCCUGACUUUUUCAUAAAAUUGGGCGAAAUAAAUGGCGUACACCACACGCAAUCGGACGUCGUUUAUAUAAUGAAGAAACUAAAAUUGUUGAACGGCCGAAGUAAUCGAUAUGGAAAUGUGAGCUGUAACGUGGUGAAACAAGAUUGGGACGAUGAGCAGAAAUAUUUCUGGUUGGUGACAGGAUAUCUGGUGGAGGGUGUCCUUGAUACUGCAACACAUCUCUUGGAGAAUGGUCUUAAUUUUUUCUGGACUGUGAAAAUGAGACUGAAUGCGUUGAGCAAUAUGCAAAUUUCAAGAUAUUGCCAAGUUACAGAUGGACAAGUUUGUGGAAAGGAUGAUGCUAAAAAAAUCGGAUUAAACAGCUCCAUUCAAAUCAUCUUUUGGGGUUUAGUUGGGAUGAAUUUAUUUGCAAUAUUUUUCUUCAUGUUAGAAAUUAAAAGGCCAAGAGGACAUUUGCUGCUUACGAAAUACAAUUACAUAACUUACUCGCAUAAAUUUAAAGGUCUGUGGAAGUAGAAGU
Molecule: RNA transcript, 680 nt
Organism: Folsomia candida
Lineage: Eukaryota; Metazoa; Arthropoda; Collembola; Entomobryomorpha; Isotomidae
Exons: 3
Source: RefSeq, a predicted model, not a curated record